Non-coding RNA from Pelobates cultripes (western spadefoot toad), 91 nucleotides. The record is from the annotation of a GenBank genome assembly. NCBI's taxonomy places the organism in Eukaryota, Metazoa, Chordata, Amphibia, Anura, Pelobatidae.
UAAGAAUGACUGUGGGACCUACUGUCCUCCCCUCCGGCACCCACCGCUCAGGGGUGGGUGCCGGAGGGGAGGACAGUAGGUCCCACAGUCA